UGGGGAAUUUUGGACAAUGGGGGCAACCCUGAUCCAGCAAUGCCGCGUGAGUGAAGAAGGCCUUCGGGUUGUAAAGCUCUUUUGUCAGGGAAGAAACGGUAGUAGCGAAUAACUAUUACUAAUGACGGUACCUGAAGAAUAAGCACCGGCUAACUACGUGCCAGCAGCCGCGGUAAUACGUAGGGUGCAAGCGUUAAUCGGAAUUACUGGGCGUAAAGCGUGCGCAGGCGGUUGUGUAAGUCAGAUGUGAAAUCCCCGGGCUCAACCUGGGAAUUGCAUUUGAGACUGCACGGCUAGAGUGUGUCAGAGGGGGGUAGAAUUCCACGUGUAGCAGUGAAAUGCGUAGAUAUGUGGAGGAAUACCGAUGGCGAAGGCAGCCCCCUGGGAUAACACUGACGCUCAUGCACGAAAGCGUGGGGAGCAAACAGGAUUAGAUACCCAAGUAGUCCCUGAGCGGGC
This 459-nucleotide ribosomal RNA is filed under the name uncultured bacterium. RNAcentral describes it as "bacterial SSU rRNA". It matches the Rfam family "Bacterial small subunit ribosomal RNA", at positions 355 to 804 of the family's 1533-position model. The record is from RNAcentral.